Molecule: long non-coding RNA, 1284 nt
Filed under: Numida meleagris (helmeted guineafowl)
Lineage: Eukaryota; Metazoa; Chordata; Aves; Galliformes; Numididae
Description: lncRNA (ENSNMEG00000015035.1)
Source: RNAcentral
UGUUGGUUGUGGUUUUUUAAAGAAAUUAUAUUUUUUAAUAUCUAGUGUCUCUGUGCACCUGGCUGGACCGGAGAAUUUUGUCAAGUUGCUGAAAAUGCAUGUUUAAUUUACCCAAAGAGUUGUACUAAUGGAGCAACUUGCGUUGAUUUGAGCCACCUGGGAGAGCAACCUUUGUUUCAGUGUUUGUGUCCUCAUGGUUUCACAGGAGAAUUCUGCAAGGUGCAAAUUGAUAACUGCAAUUCCAACCCAUGUGAAAAUGGAGGAACAUGUGUUACCUAUGAAGACCAUUUUAAGUGCAUUUGCCCCAUGGGUUUUGAAGGUGAAAGAUGUGAACUGGAUAUUGACGUCUGCCUAUUCUACAAUAUAAGCUGUGCCCCAGGAGCACUGUGCAUGAAUAAAUCUCAUGGAUUUAAUUACACGUGUUUAUCACCAUGUAUUGGAAACACAGAGGUAUGCGCAAAUGGAGGUAGCUGUUUCUAUGAUGAGGACAACCAGAGAUCUCACUGUGUUUGUGCUCUUGGGUGGACAGGACAAACAUGCCUGGAGAAUAUUAAUGACUGUGAGAUAAACCAGUGCCAACAUGGAGCCACAUGUGAAGAUGAAGUGAAUAAAUACAGCUGUAAUGAAACUCUGCAAGAUCAUUUGAGACCUAUAUUCCUUUCAUGAGGAACAGAAUCAUCUGGAGCCCUCAAGAAGAAAGGAAGAUUUAUCCUUUGCUAAGGAUUGGCUGAGGCUGGAAGAGAGAAUGCAAUAGCUACACCUACUCAAGUAGGUACUGUAGUGCAGAAGCAAAGGAUCCAUAGAGCAAAAAUGGUUGUGCUGAAGAAUUCUUAAUCUCUAUGUUGAAGAUACAGAGGACUUACUGCAAGCAGUCUCCAGUUUGGUCCUAGAACUAAAGGCUCUUCAACAGCUGGAGUACGUUAGCAGUUCCUUGAAAAGCACAACUUCUGAUUUAGUUUCAUCUGAAUAGCAUACUUUACAUCACUGCUCUGCCAUGUGAAGUAAAACACUACAGUUUUGAACAGUCAGGACAUACAUCAUAAAAGUUUUCUCCUCAUCUAACCUAAAAUGGUUAUACUAAUGCACCUUCUGACAAUGGAAAGUGGAAAGCCAGGCUUGUUCUUAUGAAAUUUUUUCCAAGGGACGGGGAAGACACCCGAAUUUUUCUGCAAGGAGCCAGCUGAAAGAAAAGGAGUUGUUAUUCUUGUCAUAUUUACAUUUAAAAUCUUUUUUUUCUUGAUCUGCUCAUUUUCUAGGUACUCUGAAGGUACUCGUGAGCUGUUA